UGUCACCUCAAGAAGAAAGAGAAAAAUAGGAGGUAGAGUAAACUUACCCCAUAUACACCUCAGCUCAGGCUCUUUGCCUGGUCUGUAUUGUGAAUGGGGAGACAUUG
RNAcentral lists this small nucleolar RNA (107 nucleotides) under Myotis brandtii (Brandt's bat). Its description in RNAcentral is "Small nucleolar RNA SNORA51". It matches the Rfam family "Small nucleolar RNA SNORA51". From Rfam's summary of the family: ACA51 is a member of the H/ACA class of snoRNA that guide the sites of modification of uridines to pseudouridines. Lineage: Eukaryota; Metazoa; Chordata; Mammalia; Chiroptera; Vespertilionidae. The record is from Rfam by way of RNAcentral.